AAGGGAGUAGCAUCUUUCUGGAUACAGAUUGUGCUUCUUUCCUGUUAUUGCUGGCCAUUGGAAGGGUGCUGGUAUCUGACUGCAAAGUCAGUGGGACAGAGAUCGGGGUCUUGCUGGACAACCCUGGAGCAACAGAGACUCAGUCCCAACUAGAGGGCUUAGGAACUGCAGAAACAGCUACUGCUUGGGCUCAAUUCCAGACCACCAGUGGGUUUCCUGGAUGUUUCUUUGGGUAUGUGGUGACAAAGGUGUUCAGGAUCCUUGCUGUGGUUGUAAAAACCUUUUUACCUAGGUUAUAAACAGAUGUAGAUAAUGGACCUACCAGAUGGAGAAUGAAAUCUUGAAAGCAGAACUGAGAUCUGUAUUUCCAACUGAGAAAGCCAAAUACUGUAAAUAUAUAUAUUUGGACCCUGGACAUCUUUCCAAAAUCCCAGGGGAGAGGCAUUCCUGUUGGAUCAAGCACUUCAGUGGCUAGUGUAUGCUUCAUGCCAUUACCACAAGGAAUAUGGUGGCCUGGCACAUGGUAAUGGUGCUAAGGACAAGGCUGUCUAGUUGAGACAUCAUGGGUGAAAUGGUGGUGUGGCAAGGCCAUACACGGGAGUCAUCUACAAGGAUUACUGUCCAAGGAAAUCUUACACCUCCUUGGAAAGCAUGGACUCGAAUUCAGAAGUUUUUGGCUUUCCAAAGAGCUGCAAGUAGCUCUCACCUAGUGCUCUAAUGAUAGACUGGCUGCUAGCGGUUGGCAUGCUGGCAUACGUGCAGCUGGAUGUGCACACACACAAGCACAUGUGUAUGCUUCACUAUCUUGCUCCAUGUACUUUGACCUUCAGCACCAAAGUAGGACUCAUCUCUGUCUACAGAUUUAUGUCAAAGCUGCCAUAUCUUCAUCACUCACCAGCCCUUCGCAUCAGACAAAGGGCCUGUGUCACCUUUCCUCUCUUUCCUUCUGAGUCUCCUUUCUAGCACGAGCUUUUAGAGCUAUGAUAAACAGCAAUGAGCUGUACACAGCGUAAAGAUAACCCAAAUGACAAUGUCAAAUCUGCAUUCAUUCCAUGUGUAAGUGUUACUGAAGGAGAAGAUGCCAGGGAAGGGUGAUCAGAACUGGGAAAAAAAAAAAAAAGAAAAAAGAGGGCCAGCUACAAUGGAAAUAGGAUGAGGCUAACCCAAAUUUCAGUUAAAUAAAAACUUAUUAAACUUCUACUUCAGUUUUGGGAGACACCUCAGCCAGAACCUUAUUUUAGAAUACUCAUGGAGGACAGCUCAUUGUCUCAGAAUGUGUUUUCAGUGGAAAAACCUCACUGCCGCAGUGCUUCUAGGGCUAGAGAGUUGCAGUUUUGCAGAUUACUCCAUCAUGUAUGUAAAAAGAUCAUUCAUAAAAGGAGAGGAGUGUGUGCUUUUGGCAGCUUGAUUGGACCUGCCCCUGGGAGAAACUUCCUGGAAUACUGGUCUGCCCUUUUCUGGAAGACACUGGGAAAUGAAAAAGGAUCAAGAAAAGACAACUGUAAUAAAAGGGAAGGACCAGCACUGUAAGUGUCAGGGGCAGAGACCCUGUGGUGUUUGAUAAGUGCCUUAGUGCAGCAGUGGGACUUCAUGGCCUGCUGCAUCUUUGUCCCCUUAGAGAAAAGGUGGAAGAACGGGACCCAGCUUACAAAUAUACUAGGAAA
Molecule: long non-coding RNA, 1664 nt
Organism: Numida meleagris (helmeted guineafowl)
Lineage: Eukaryota; Metazoa; Chordata; Aves; Galliformes; Numididae
Exons: 4
Source: RefSeq, a predicted model, not a curated record